This 406-nucleotide ribosomal RNA is filed under the name uncultured bacterium. RNAcentral describes it as "partial 16S ribosomal RNA". It matches the Rfam family "Bacterial small subunit ribosomal RNA", at positions 30 to 526 of the family's 1533-position model. The record is from RNAcentral.
AUUGAACGCUGGCGGCAGGCCUAACACAUGCAAGUCGAACGAGUGGCGGACGGGUGAGUAAUUUCUGGGAAACUGCCUGAUGGAGGGGGAUAACUACUGUAAACGGUAGCUAAUACCGCAUACCAUCAGAUGUGCCCAGUUGGGCUUAGCUAGUUGGUGGGGUAACGGCUCACCAAGGCGACGCUCCAUAGCUGGACUGAGAGGAUGACCAGCCACACUGUAACUGAGACACGGUCCAGACUCCUACGGGAGGCAGCAGUGGGGAAUAUUGCACAAUGGGCGCAAGCCUGAUGCAGCCAUGCCGCGUGUAUGAAGAAGGCCUUCGGGUUGUAAAGUACUUUCAGCGGGGAGGCGUUACCCGCAGAAGAAGCACCGGCUAACUCCGUGCCAGCAGCCGCGGUAAUAC